Long non-coding RNA from Sinocyclocheilus grahami, 111 nucleotides. RefSeq lists it as uncharacterized. Lineage: Eukaryota; Metazoa; Chordata; Actinopteri; Cypriniformes; Cyprinidae. The record is from RefSeq and is a predicted model, not a curated record. The transcript is spliced from 3 exons.
GUGAAGUAUUCAUCAAAUGUCUUUCCAUUAAUAUAAAAGAGGAACGACUGCGGUUUGAGGGUGAUUGAUCACAUUAAACUUUAUUAAAGCAAACGCUUUGUUUACACUAUC